RNAcentral lists this long non-coding RNA (607 nucleotides) under Homo sapiens (human). RNAcentral's name for it is "non-protein coding LINC02532:34". The record is from RNAcentral. Lineage: Eukaryota; Metazoa; Chordata; Mammalia; Primates; Hominidae.
GCAACAUGGUUAUGGGUACUACAGUGGAUGUGAGUGUGUAGACCUUGUACAAUAGAGCUUAUAGGCUAAUGAGAAGACAGGAAGAAACAACAGGAACACAUAUAGCUGGAAUGCAGAUGGGAUCUGUGCUACUUACGCUAGCCAUGGGAUGAUUAGAACAAGAUAAGAGACAUGAGGAAGACUUCUUCAAGGAGGUGCUCAAGCCAUGUUUUGGAAAAGAGAACUCAAGGUCUGGCAGGGAGAAAGGAGCAAGGGCAAGUAGAGCUGCAGCUGUCUGGCGCCACUGUAAUGCUGUCUCCUCCUCUGAGUGAGUUCAUCCUGGAAACAUUUUCUCCCAUAAGACAUGCACAGGUCUUACGUUUACAUGUUUCACUGAAAGAAAUUUGAUUCCACUGCUGGGAUGACAAGGAAGACUGAAGAAACCUAAUCCUAGGUGCUGCCACUGGGACAAACAAGAAGCACCAGACACAGUGCUGUUUUAGGGUGGGGCAGAAUUAUGCUGAGGGAAAAGUUAUUAUCACUCUUUAAGGCCAAGGAAACCACAAUUUUUAAAGAAGCUUCUAGAAAUUCUACCCAGUAGAAAAUAAAGAUAAACUUCUGUAAGGAA